GAUGAAGAACGUAGCGAAAUGCGAUAAGUAAUGCGAAUUGCAGAAUUUCCGUGAGUCAUCGAAUCUUUGAACGCACAUUGCGCCCGCUAGUAUUCUGGCGGGCAUGCCUGUCCGAGCGUCAUUUCAACCCUCAAGCCCCCGGGCUUGGUGUUGGGGAUCGGCGAGCCUCCGCGCCCGCCGUCCCCUAAAUCUAGUGGCGGUCUCGCUGUAGCUUCCUCUGCGUAGUAGCACACCUCGCACUGGGAAACAGCGCGGCCACGCCGUUAAACCCCCAACUUCUGAACGUUUGACCUCGGAUCAGGUAGGAAUACCCGCUGAACUUAAGCAUAUCAAUAAGCGGAGGA
This 344-nucleotide unclassified non-coding RNA is filed under the name soil metagenome. RNAcentral describes it as "partial contains 5.8S ribosomal RNA, internal transcribed spacer 2, and large subunit ribosomal RNA". The stretch from base 1 to 121 matches the Rfam family "5.8S ribosomal RNA", at positions 35 to 154 of the family's 154-position model. The record is from RNAcentral.